CGCGAUUCGUCUCUGCGGCCCAGAUACCUUUGCAUGAACCCUAAUCCCUCUUCACUUCUUCCCCUUCGCUUCCUCUGAACCUCUCAGGCGGCGAUAUGUCGAUUGUGCUUCUGUAACGGUUUUGAUUACUGUGUAGUUACUCCCAGCGUCUUUGAUUCGUCGUCUGUGUGUAUAAAUAGCUCCAAGUUGUUCUUCUCUGACCUGAGAACCGGCAGGUGCUCCUCCGUUUCGGUAUUCCUCUCUGAUUUGCAGAUGGGCCGCUCCUCCUCCACUAUUCAAGUCCAGUUGCUCCGUUUCUGAAAGGCCAAGAAUAUCCGCCGUGGUGGAGAGCUUUCUGCUACUCGAUUCUCAGGACUGGUAAUUCGCGUGAUUUUGCUAUUGUUAGGUUUAAGUAUAAAAAAGCUCACAAAGCAGUGGAAAGGCUUGAAGAAUGCAGCAGUCGAGUUUGUGUGGGUGGUGAACCCGAAAGAAAAGAUGUAGCAGAUCAUCUCAAGCUGGAGAUUAUUGGGGUUGGGAAGAAGAAGCUUCAUGAAGCAAAAAGUGUGGGUGAAACCAAGGUUGAACUUCAGGAGUUGCAGGAGUUCAAGCAUGCUGGUGAUGAUGCCCUUACCCUUACUCCCUCCUAUCUUUACUGCAAAUAAGAUGAGCAUGAAUCUAGAUGGAGGGAAGUUCUAUGAGGUGAUUAUUUCUCUUUUCAAAACUUUGUUCCUCACAUUGGUUUUGUUGGUUUUCUCAGGGCUGUGUUUGAUCCAAUGGAAGGAUUAGAAUUGGUUUACGCACAAGAUAUCUAUGGAAUGACUUGAGAAAACAAAAUCAUGGAGCAUCAAGGAUCAGAUUUGAUGUGGGGAGAAAAUGAGCUUAUGGCUCAAGAAAUCGUUCUUCUCACCAACUCAUUAACACAAAGCUUAGCAUCUGUUUCAUGACUGAUCUUGGAGUCAUUGCCUCAUUGGUGAGAUUCAACAUGUUUGAAAGAGGUCUACUUGGAUAGACCCAUUACCACUCGAAUGUUUGUUAUCAGCAACGUUGAACAGCAUCAACACAUCAACGGAACAAGAUGACGGAAUCUCUGUGCUUUUCUCAGAUUUUAAUACACUCUUUGGAGCUUGGUAGUCUCAUCGGCAGAGUCAUGAGAACAAAGAGAUGACAGAGACAAUAACAAAGCCAAGUCUUUGAAGAGAAACAGAGACGGGACAUGAAGUUACUUCCGGGUUUUCACAGCUUAUGGAGGGUCAAACCAGAAAUUAGCAAGACGGGGACAAGUGGAAACCCCGAUGAUAUCAUAGCAGAACAUCUGUCUUUAAGAGCUGAAAUAAUGAAUCUUGAAAGUUAAAACAAUUCCAUUUCUCGCAUUUGUCAAAAGAACCACAAGUUAUUAAUCAAUAUCUGUAAACUUAUACAUUCUCUCACUAAAUAUUCACCUUUAUAUAAAUGACUUUUCAUAGGAGUA
Molecule: long non-coding RNA, 1447 nt
Organism: Raphanus sativus (radish)
Lineage: Eukaryota; Viridiplantae; Streptophyta; Magnoliopsida; Brassicales; Brassicaceae
Exons: 5
Source: RefSeq, a predicted model, not a curated record